GUGUGGGUUAAUUGCCUAGAAAAGAUUUUUCAUAUGUCUUACUCGCCCGUACCGUAAACCGACACAGGUGGGUGAGUGUAAAUGCACUAAGGCGCGCGAGAGAGACCUCUCUAAGGAACUCGGCACAUUAGCCUCGUAACUUCGGGAAAAGAGGUGCUCACUUCGGUGAGCCACAGUAAAUUGCGUUUAGCGACUGUUUAACAAAAACACAGCAUUCUGCUAAGUCGUUAAGACGACGUAUAGGGUGUGACACGUGACCAAUGCGGAAAGAUUAAGGCAUUUUGUUAGCCGCAAGGCGAAGCUCGGUGCCAAAGUCCCCGUGAAUGUCGGCCGUAACUAUAACGGUCCUAAGGUAGCGAAAUUCCUUGUCGGGUAAGUUCCGACCUGCACGAAUCGUGUAACGACUGAACGACUGUCUCGGAGAGGAUCUCGGCGAAACUGUAACUGCGGUGAAGAUGCCGCAUGCCCGCAGUAGGACGGAAAGACCCUAUGCACCUUUACUGUAAGCUGGUAUUGUGUUCUGAUUAAUAAUGCGUAGCGUAGGUGGGAGGCUUUGAAGUGAGUGCUUCGGUGCUCAUGGAGCCGCAAUGUGAAACACCACUCUUUGCUAAUUAGGAUUCUAACCUCGAUUCCUGUCAACCAGGCGAGGGACAGUGCUUGCGGGUCAGUUUGACUGGGGCGGUUUCCUCCCAAAGAGUAACGGAGGAGCGCGAAGCUUGGCUCAGCACGGUUGGCAACCGUGCGUCGAGCGUAUGGGUAUAAGCCAGGUUAACUGUGAGACCUACAAGUCGAGCAGAUGCGAAAGCAGGCCCAAAUGAUCCGAUGGUUUAAUGUGGAAUUGCCAUCGCUCAACGGACAAAAGGUACGCUAGGGAUAACAGGCUGAUCGGUUCCAAGAGUUCACAUCGACGAACCGGUUUGGCACCUCGAUGUCGGCUCAUCGCAUCCUGGGGCUGGAGAAGGUCCCAAGGGUCCGGCUGUUCGCCGGUUAAAGCGGUACGCGAGCUGGGUUCAGAACGUCGUGAGACAGUUCGGUCCUUAUCCACUGUGGGCGCAGGAAUCUUGAGGGGUUCAUUCUCUAGUACGAGAGGACCGAGAAUGACGCACUUCUGGUGUGGCAGUUGUUCCAUCAGGGGCAUCGCUGCGUAGCCAUGUGCGGAAGAGAUAAGCGCUGAAAGCAUCUAAGUGCCAAGCUCAUCCCAAGAUAUGGAUUCCCGGACGCAAGUCCCUAAAGACCCCCGGCAGACUACCGGGUUGAUAGGUCAGGCAUGUAAGCGUCGCGAGAUGUUUAGUGGACUGAUACUAAUUGGUCGUGCGGCUUGAUCGC
This 1326-nucleotide ribosomal RNA is filed under the name metagenome. Its description in RNAcentral is "bacterial LSU rRNA". It matches the Rfam family "Bacterial large subunit ribosomal RNA", at positions 1594 to 2925 of the family's 2925-position model. The record is from RNAcentral.